CUACUUUAGCUCUGAUUGCACUGCUGUAGUUAUUUGGGGCAUCUCUGAACUUGGCUUCUGACACAAAUCUUCCAUAGUGGAUCCUCCUUGAAAGUGCCUUCAAACAUGCAGACAGCUAAAUUAUUUCUUCUUUUCUGAAAAUGACAAGCAUUCAUUUGUGAUUGUGUUUGAUAAACAGCUAUUUACCUGUAAACACACAAGAUCUGCAGCUGCUGUGAGUGCAUAUCUGCCAUCAUCUCCUUUUGAAGUGAAUUGUGGAAGAAGUUGAUCAAAAUACAUUUUCCAUAUGGUGUCUCUAACAUUCACUGAUGCAGCAGCAGGAUAUAACACCUGUGAGUGCACUUCCGAGAAUUAGAAUCAUCACCAAAAUCUACAAGGAAUGAGCGGAGAGGAACUAGCUGCAACUAGCCAUGAUAGGAGGGACUAAUGGCGGCACCAGACUCUCUGGGAAGAAGGGAAUCUCCUCUGGGUUUUGAUAUCUUCCGGCCUAUAGAAAGUUGAAAAUAAUGCAAGUCAACCCUUUGAGAAAACGUGGGAGAUGGAAAUGGAAGUCUAACUUCUUACCCUGGCCUGCACUGCCUCCGACUCCCUGACAAAGAUGUCGACCAGGGAAUGGUUGUGGUAUGGGAAGGCUGCUCCGGCCAAGUAAGAAGGAUCAUAAACAGGAAAGUUGGAGGGGUAUUUGGCCCUCUCUAUGAGGCUGAACACAAUACUGUCUUCCUCCCUGGUCAAGAACUCUCUCACUGAUGCGAGACUGAACUGGUUGUCCUUCUCCUCGAGUUGUCUGCAGCUGCAGAUGGAAGCAAAGGCGAGGAAGGAGAAGGCAUAGAGGAGAGAGCGAGAAGCCAUGGACAUGAAGCUUGAUUGCCAGGUAGAGUUUCUGAACUCCCCUCGUUUAUAUAAAAACUUGAGUUGUUACAAGGGAAGAGAAUUUACACCUUCAUAUUUUUAGCACUACUUCCCAUGAAAUAGCUUUUUUUUGUUUGAGUCCUCCUUUUAAAUAUUGGUGUAAUGCAAUAAUGCAUAAAUAAUUUUCUUUUUUUAGAAUUUUAGAAUUAUUUUAUUCUA
Zingiber officinale is the source of this 1068-nucleotide long non-coding RNA. RefSeq lists it as uncharacterized. The transcript has 2 exons. The record is from RefSeq and is a predicted model, not a curated record. Lineage: Eukaryota; Viridiplantae; Streptophyta; Magnoliopsida; Zingiberales; Zingiberaceae.